AAAGGCUUCCAUGAAAACAGUAGGUGACGAGACCCACCGCAAGCCACCACCUGGCUGAAUCCAUCGAUUCUCUGCUCGCAAAACGCAGGCCAGGGCAACAAUUUGCAAUGAUGAGCUACAUAUACCAGUGGAGGAUCCAGACUGGCCAAGCUUUUGGAUAAAGCAGACAAGUCUAAUUGAUGCGCUACAUAUAACAAUGGAGGAUUUCUGCAAAAUUUGGUAGACCAAAUGGGAUUAUGUGAAAUCCAUUGAAGUCAAAUACAAGUUGAUGCCCUCAACCUGGUUGAAUCGAUCCCUCGUGGAUUGUUGUUCGAAAAAUUGAUGGCUGCCAUUUUCCUAGGUAAAUUAUUUUGAUUGCCGAGCAGAAAGAAUUACUUGUAGUUUUAUAAUUGCUUUGAAACACAAUCAAAUUGUUUUUACAUUAUGAGUCUGAUGUAACUAAUAAGGCGGAUACUCUGAGAAUAAUGCCUCAUGAGUUCAAAUGGUACAAAUUAGAUGUUAGACUCACUAAUUGAUAAGUCCCACAUGCCACCCUUGGUUUUA
Macadamia integrifolia is the source of this 543-nucleotide long non-coding RNA. RefSeq lists it as uncharacterized. The transcript has 2 exons. The record is from RefSeq and is a predicted model, not a curated record. Lineage: Eukaryota; Viridiplantae; Streptophyta; Magnoliopsida; Proteales; Proteaceae.